GGUCUGGACCACAGAACAGCUGUGUUUACCGCCCGACCCAGCUCUGGAGGUCUUGCUCUGCCUCGCAGGCUAGGGCACCACUGUAGCCCUAGAUGGCCAAGAUUCCUGCCUGCUCCUGCCUGAAGCCUCCGGAGCCCUGGGGCCUCUGGAAUGACCCGAAGUGGGCGCUUUCUCCAGCAUCAUGCCUGAGGAUGAUGAGGCCACAGGAAUCCCCCCAGACCCUGGGGUCAAUAUUUCAGGGCUCCUCUUCACCUUCCUCCCACCCCAGGCCUGGGAAAUCUUCCUGUGCACCAGAGUUCUUGGAGAGGACAGGGCACAGUUCCCAGUUCUGGCCCAACGGCGGCAGGGCUUGGUUCCCUGUGGCGCUCAGAGGUGGGGGCCUCCCAAAGCCGAUACCUGAUUCCUGUUCCCAGAUUGGGGAACUGGGAGGAGUGAACUUCCUAGGAAUGUGAGCCAUGUCCCUGAUUUCCAACAAACCCCAGAUGUGUGGAAACGAUGUCUUCUGAGUGCAGAGGGAGCCUUGUCCCUUGCAGAUGGGCUGCUUCCGGGGACUGCCAGGGCCGUGGCAGGCACCAUGCUGUGGCCACCCCAGUGGAGUCCCUUUGCCCGCUUCGUGUCCCGGCAUCCCCACUAGGUGCCUGGCUCUUCUGUGCAGGUGUCGGGGUGUCUGGAGCCCCGAAGUUUUUGUUUUGUUUUGUUAGAGGUGGAGAUGGUGAACCUGAACUCCCUGGGUCUCCGCCCGUUGGGGCAGGAGGGAGCCUAAUCCAGGCUUAACCGGGCUCACUGAGAAGGUGCAGGAAGCGCAGAACGACUCCCGCCCGUGUGCGGCCCACAUUGGGCCAGGGCGCUGCCGCUGGGUGUCUGCAACCGGGAGCGUCCCGGCCGCUGGAAGGAUACAGGGAAUCGGUUUCCCACGCUUUCCCUGUUGAUCUCAGAACCUUUAAAAAGCCGCCAACGAAUGCCGUUGCCCGGAUGCGCUGAGUGUGCCCUGAGCCGUGUGUUCACGCGCGCCCGCAGCCGUGCAGUGGGUCCCCUCCUGCCACCUGCCGCCCCGGGGCCGCCGGCCUGCGCUGGCCCGGGAGGAGCAACUUCGUUACCCACAGCGCCCGCGUCCUGCGGCCGGCGGGGAGCUGCGCGCCGCGGAGGUGGCACGGACCGGCUCCAGAACGCUGCCUGCAUGGACGCGGCCGCUGCCUUCAGCUCCCAGUUCUGGCCGCGCGUGGGCAGCAACGAAAUAGCGAGCCUCGCAGCCUUCCGGGCCCGGCGGCCGCAUUCCGGGAGUAGCCAGGAGGCGCUGCAGGGCUCAGAGCUCCUGGAGCUUCCAGUCUAUGGCAUGAGUAAAGCAGGAGGGUGUCUCCUCCAUCAGACCUGGGUUCCAGCUCACUUUCUCCAAAGCUCCAGAACCUGGCCCAAGGCUGGGCUGUGCUCUGUCCUUAGAAAGAAUGGAUGAGUCACAACUGAAUGAAGAUAGCUGAGCCA
RNAcentral lists this long non-coding RNA (1479 nucleotides) under Callithrix jacchus (white-tufted-ear marmoset). RNAcentral's name for it is "lncRNA (ENSCJAG00000081282.1)". The record is from RNAcentral. Lineage: Eukaryota; Metazoa; Chordata; Mammalia; Primates; Cebidae.